UGUCUCUGCCUCACCACCCUAACUGCCCGAUCUCGUUCGAUCUCAGAAGCUAAGCAGUGACGGGCCUGUUAGUACUUGGAUGGGGGAGCCAAAAGGACAAAGACUC
This 106-nucleotide ribosomal RNA is filed under the name Fukomys damarensis (Damara mole-rat). The record is from RNAcentral. Lineage: Eukaryota; Metazoa; Chordata; Mammalia; Rodentia; Bathyergidae.